Molecule: unclassified non-coding RNA, 1359 nt
Filed under: uncultured Neocallimastigales
Lineage: Eukaryota; Fungi; Neocallimastigomycota; Neocallimastigomycetes; Neocallimastigales
Description: partial contains internal transcribed spacer 1, 5.8S ribosomal RNA, internal transcribed spacer 2, and large subunit ribosomal RNA
Rfam family: Eukaryotic large subunit ribosomal RNA (bases 609-1359)
Source: RNAcentral
AACCUGCGGAAGGAUCAUUAAUAAAUGGUCUACGUUUUUUUAAGUAGACGCUUAAUAAUCCUACCCUUUGUGAAUUUGUUUGUUUGAAAUAAUUUUUUUUAAAAUUAUGAAUGUCUUUCCCUGUUGAAUUGGUUGUCUUUAAUGGCAAGUGAUUCGCAGGGGAGUGUCAAUAUUUUAAAAAGACCUUUUUUAAAAUUAAACUUUUUGUAUUCAUGUUGUCUAAAAAUUAUUUUAUAAUAUAAAAACAACUUUGACAAUGGAUCUCUUGGUUCUCGCAACGAUGAAGAACGCAGCAAAUGCGAUAAGUAGUGUGAAUUGCAGAAUACGUGAAUCAUCGAAUCUUCGAACGCAUAUUGCACUUUUUUAGUUUACUAAAAAAGUAUGUCUGUUGAGUAUCAGUAAAAUAUUCUCAUAAAAAACAUUGUUUUUAUAUGGUUAUGAGUGUUUUACAACGAUACAAGUUGUUUCACUUUAAUUUUUUUAAAAUUUGAAUUUUUCUAAUUUUAAAAAUAAAAUUGGAUAAAUUUUCCCGUAAAAAGGAAAUACCUAAACAAUUUUAAUUUUUGAUUAGAAAAUCCAAACUAAAAGGAAAAUUUAACUAAAUAACUUGAUCUCAAAUCAGAUAAGAGUACCCGCUGAACUUAAGCAUAUCAAUAAGCGGAGGAAAAGAAACUAACAGGAUCCUUAGUAACGGCGAGUGAAGCGGGAAGAGCUCAAAUUUUGAAAUCUUCAAGGUUUACCUUGACGAAUUGUAGUUUAAAGAAGUGUUUUCUGUUGAAGUUUUGGUAAAGUUCUUUGGAAUAGGACAUCAUAGAGGGUGAGAAUCCGUAUUUGACCAUUAUUUUCAGCUGUGUGAUACACUUUCAAAGAGUCGGAUUGUUUGGGAAUGCAGUCCGAAAUGGGUGGUAAAUUUCAUCUAAAGCUAAAUAUUGGCGAGAGACCGAUAGCGAACAAGUACCGUGAGGAAAGAUGAAAAGAACUUUGAAAGAGAGUUAACAGUACGUGAAAUUGUCAAAAGGGAAGCGUUUGACACCAGUGUUGUUUUCUCGAAAAUCAAUUAAAAAAGUUGGAUUUGUGUUGUAUUGACCUUAACAGCUUGCUUCACUCUUUUCCUGCUUUUUUUAAUGCACUUUUCGUUUUAACAAGUCAACAUCAGUUCUUUUGUUGUAAAAGGGUCAUUUGGAAGUGGCUUUCUCUUCGAGAAGUGUUUAUAUGCCUUUGAUCUCUGCAAUCGGAGAAGACUGAGGUCUGCAGCGUAGAUCCUUCGGGUUAGAUACAUUUGUGCUAAGCUACAGCUUUUCAUAGACAACUUGUUGACUAUGUUUAGUCUUGUGACUUACCCGCUUAUGCUAUUUUACC